Monodelphis domestica (gray short-tailed opossum) is the source of this 107-nucleotide small nuclear RNA. The record is from Ensembl. Lineage: Eukaryota; Metazoa; Chordata; Mammalia; Didelphimorphia; Didelphidae.
GUGCUCACUUCUGCAGCAUAUAUACUCAAGUUGGAAUGAUACAGAGAAGAUUAAUAUGGCCCCUGCUCAAGGAUCACAUGCAAAUUUGUAAAGCGUCAUAAUAAAGA